UUACAGGUGCUGCUCGGGGGCUCUCUUUUCUGCACGGCUCUGAAUCACAAGUUAUAUACCGUGAUUUUAAAGCUUCUAACAUCCUGCUAGAUUCAGAAUUUAAUGCAAAACUUUCAGAUUUUGGAUUGGCAAAAGCUGGCCCCACUGGGGACCAGACUCAUGUAUCUACUCAAGUCGUGGGUACUCAUGGCUAUACUGCCCCCGAAUAUGUUUCUACAGG
This is a non-coding RNA of Camellia sinensis, 220 nucleotides long. The record is from RefSeq and is a predicted model, not a curated record. NCBI's taxonomy places the organism in Eukaryota, Viridiplantae, Streptophyta, Magnoliopsida, Ericales, Theaceae.